AGUUUGAUCCUGGCUCAGAACGAACGCUGGCGGCAGGCUUAACACAUGCAAGUCGAACGCCCCGCAAGGGGAGUGGCAGACGGGUGAGUAACGCGUGGGAACAUACCCUUUUCUACGGAAUAGCUCUGGGAAACUGGAAUUAAUACCGUAUACGCCCUACGGGGGAAAGAUUUAUCGGGGAAGGAUUGGCCCGCGUUGGAUUAGCUAGUUGGUGGGGUAAAGGCCUACCAAGGCGACGAUCCGUAGCUGGUCUGAGAGGAUGAUCAGCCACAUUGGGACUGAGACACGGCCCAAACUCCUACGGGAGGCAGCAGUGGGGAAUAUUGGACAAUGGGCGCAAGCCUGAUCCAGCCAUGCCGCGUGAGUGAUGAAGGCCCUAGGGUUGUAAAGCUCUUUCACCGGUGAAGAUAAUGACGGUAACCGGAGAAGAAGCCCCGGCUAACUUCGUGCCAGCAGCCGCGGUAA
RNAcentral lists this ribosomal RNA (465 nucleotides) under uncultured bacterium. RNAcentral describes it as "bacterial SSU rRNA". It matches the Rfam family "Bacterial small subunit ribosomal RNA", at positions 10 to 523 of the family's 1533-position model. The record is from RNAcentral.